RNAcentral lists this transfer RNA (66 nucleotides) under Elliptorhina chopardi. RNAcentral describes it as "tRNA-Asn". Lineage: Eukaryota; Metazoa; Arthropoda; Insecta; Blattodea; Blaberidae. The record is from RNAcentral.
UUGACUGAAACCAAAUAGAGGUUUAUUAUUGUUAAUAAUAUCAUUGGAUUAAUUAUCCUAGUCAAG